This 424-nucleotide ribosomal RNA is filed under the name uncultured Eubacterium sp. Its description in RNAcentral is "bacterial SSU rRNA". It matches the Rfam family "Bacterial small subunit ribosomal RNA", at positions 356 to 794 of the family's 1533-position model. Lineage: Bacteria; Bacillati; Bacillota; Clostridia; Eubacteriales; Eubacteriaceae. The record is from RNAcentral.
GGGGAAUAUUGGGCAAUGGGCGAAAGCCUGACCCAGCAACGCCGCGUGAAGGAAGAAGGUUUUCGGAUUGUAAACUUCUUUUAUCAGGGACGAAGAAAGUGACGGUACCUGAUGAAUAAGCCACGGCUAACUACGUGCCAGCAGCCGCGGUAAUACGUAGGUGGCAAGCGUUAUCCGGAAUUACUGGGUGUAAAGGGAGCGUAGGCGGGAUGCCAAGUCAGCUGUGAAAACUAUGGGCUUAACCUGUAGACUGCAGUUGAAACUGGUAUUCUUGAGUGAAGUAGAGGUUGGCGGAAUUCCGAGUGUAGCGGUGAAAUGCGUAGAUAUUCGGAGGAACACCGGUGGCGAAGGCGGCCAACUGGGCUUUAACUGACGCUGAGGCUCGAAAGUGUGGGGAGCAAACAGGAUUAGAUACCCUGGUAGU